RNAcentral lists this ribosomal RNA (829 nucleotides) under uncultured bacterium. RNAcentral's name for it is "bacterial SSU rRNA". It matches the Rfam family "Bacterial small subunit ribosomal RNA", at positions 51 to 893 of the family's 1533-position model. The record is from RNAcentral.
ACACAUGCAAGUCGAACGAGCGAGAGAGAGCUUGCUUUCUCGAGCGAGUGGCGAACGGGUGAGUAACGCGUGAGGAACCUGCCUCAAAGAGGGGGACAACAGUUGGAAACGACUGCUAAUACCGCAUAAGCCCACGGCUCGGCAUCGAGCAGAGGGAAAAGGAGCAAUCCGCUUUGAGAUGGCCUCGCGUCCGAUUAGCUAGUUGGUGAGGUAACGGCCCACCAAGGCAACGAUCGGUAGCCGGACUGAGAGGUUGAACGGCCACAUUGGGACUGAGACACGGCCCAGACUCCUACGGGAGGCAGCAGUGGGGAAUAUUGCACAAUGGGGGAAACCCUGAUGCAGCGACGCCGCGUGGAGGAAGAAGGUCUUCGGAUUGUAAACUCCUGUUGUUGGGGAAGAUAAUGACGGUACCCAACAAGGAAGUGACGGCUAACUACGUGCCAGCAGCCGCGGUAAAACGUAGGUCACAAGCGUUGUCCGGAAUUACUGGGUGUAAAGGGAGCGCAGGCGGGAAGACAAGUUGGAAGUGAAAUCUAUGGGCUCAACCCAUAAACUGCUUUCAAAACUGUUUUUCUUGAGUAGUGCAGAGGUAGGCGGAAUUCCCGGUGUAGCGGUGGAAUGCGUAGAUAUCGGGAGGAACACCAGUGGCGAAGGCGGCCUACUGGGCACCAACUGACGCUGAGGCUCGAAAGUGUGGGUAGCAAACAGGAUUAGAUACCCUGGUAGUCCACACCGUAAACGAUGAUUACUAGGUGUUGGAGGAUUGACCCCUUCAGUGCCGCAGUUAACACAAUAAGUAAUCCACCUGGGGAGUACGACCGCAAGG